Molecule: long non-coding RNA, 1014 nt
Organism: Glycine soja
Lineage: Eukaryota; Viridiplantae; Streptophyta; Magnoliopsida; Fabales; Fabaceae
Exons: 7
Source: RefSeq, a predicted model, not a curated record
CUCUCUCAUCUUAUCGUGGCAAAGACCUUUCAUUUUUGUGACCCUUCAUUUUUUUUUCUCUCUCUCUCUCUCUCGUCUCUCUCUCGAGCUGAGAGUGAAAUCCUCAAAGAGGCAUUUAGCUCUUUUAGGAUCAAAACUCUCGCAUUCAAUCUCAUAGAGUGUUACAAAAUCAAAACUGGUUUCAUCCACCUCCAAUUUCAAACCCUUCCAAUCCUUUUUCAGUUUCAAAUUCCUUUUGCACCCUCUUCAAAACCCUAGACUCUAUUGACCCCAACUUUGCCGGCUCCGCCAAGCAUUUGUGUCCUCCUCCACGCUCCACCAUAAUUUCCCAUUCCCAAAAUUUCUCAUUCUCCCUUUCCUCUCUGAAUCCUUGAUCACUCUCACGCGCUCCUAUAUUCACUCCUCCAUCGUCGCUUUCUCAAACAACCAGAACACCAUCUUCAUCACAUGGGAACCUUUGUCGAGGGAAUAAAGGAAGAGGCUGUACUCUCUCCUGCGCAUGCUCUGUCCCUUAUAGCUGCCUGAGAAGAUUAUGGAUGAGAAAUCUCUGAUCAAGAAGUAUCAGAAGGAAAUUUCUGAGUUAAAGCAGUCAAUUAUACGAGCUAGCAUAUUUACCAGAUAGACUAUGUUAAGUAAUUAGGGGUAUCAGAUAUCAACCUUUGCCACAAAAUUAGGAGUUUGGAACAUUGCUUUCCUUGGUUCUGGAAUUUUGCUGGUGAAGUAUAUUGUUUCUGUUUUGGCAGCAAUUUAUAUGCCUCAGGUGAAUAUAAACUUUCAGGCGUUGGUUACUCGUACCGGCUCAUACAAUUUUUGCAAUAAGCUUGAUUUACCAGGGUUGUUUUGUAUGUAUCGUCAUUGGCUAUUGUGAAGGAGGAGAUAUGCCGAGGCAAUUAAAAAGGCCAACGACGUUCAUUUUCCUGAAGAGGUUGGUCGCUCUUUUAUAAAGUGAAUUGACCGAACAAAAAGAUAGAGGAAGCAAAAGAACAUCACCUAGAUGAAGAUGCUCUUGAUACC